GGGGAAGUGUCGAAAUAGGUAGACGAGCAUGACUUAGGAUCAUGUGCUGAAAAGCGUGGGAGUUCGAGUCUCCCCUUCCCCACCA
This 85-nucleotide transfer RNA is filed under the name Chloroflexota bacterium. RNAcentral's name for it is "Chloroflexi bacterium tRNA-Leu". It matches the Rfam family "tRNA". Rfam says of the family: Transfer RNA (tRNA) molecules are approximately 80 nucleotides in length. Their secondary structure includes four short double-helical elements and three loops (D, anti-codon, and T loops). The record is from RNAcentral. Lineage: Bacteria; Bacillati; Chloroflexota.